RNAcentral lists this ribosomal RNA (684 nucleotides) under Streptosporangium vulgare. RNAcentral's name for it is "bacterial SSU rRNA". It matches the Rfam family "Bacterial small subunit ribosomal RNA", at positions 41 to 745 of the family's 1533-position model. Lineage: Bacteria; Bacillati; Actinomycetota; Actinomycetes; Streptosporangiales; Streptosporangiaceae. The record is from RNAcentral.
GGCGUGCUUAACACAUGCAAGUCGAGCGGAAAGGCCCUUCGGGGUACUCGAGCGGCGAACGGGUGAGUAACACGUGAGUAACCUGCCCCUGACUCUGGGAUAAGCCCGGGAAACUGGGUCUAAUACCGGAUACGACACCUCCUGGCAUCGGGUGGGUGUGGAAAGUUUUUUCGGUUGGGGAUGGACUCGCGGCCUAUCAGCUUGUUGGUGGGGUAACGGCCUACCAAGGCGACGACGGGUAGCCGGCCUGAGAGGGCGACCGGCCACACUGGGACUGAGACACGGCCCAGACUCCUACGGGAGGCAGCAGUGGGGAAUAUUGCGCAAUGGGCGAAAGCCUGACGCAGCGACGCCGCGUGGGGGAUGACGGCCUUCGGGUUGUAAACCUCUUUCAGCAGGGACGAAGUUGACGUGUACCUGCAGAAGAAGCGCCGGCUAACUACGUGCCAGCAGCCGCGGUAAUACGUAGGGCGCAAGCGUUGUCCGGAAUUAUUGGGCGUAAAGAGCUCGUAGGUGGCUUGUCACGUCGGGUGUGAAAGCUUGGGGCUUAACUCCAGGUCUGCAUUCGAUACGGGCUGGCUAGAGGUAGGUAGGGGAGAACGGAAUUCCUGGUGUAGCGGUGAAAUGCGCAGAUAUCAGGAGGAACACCGGUGGCGAAGGCGGUUCUCUGGGCCUUACCUGACG